RNAcentral lists this unclassified non-coding RNA (395 nucleotides) under soil metagenome. RNAcentral describes it as "partial contains 5.8S ribosomal RNA, internal transcribed spacer 2, and large subunit ribosomal RNA". The stretch from base 1 to 122 matches the Rfam family "5.8S ribosomal RNA", at positions 35 to 154 of the family's 154-position model. The record is from RNAcentral.
GAUGAAGAACGUAGCGAAAUGCGAUACUUGGUGUGAAUUGCAGAAUCCCGUGAACCAUCGAGUCUUUGAACGCAAGUUGCGCCCGAAGCCAUCAGGUUGAGGGCACGUCUGCCUGGGCGUCACAUAUCGUUGCCCAAUGCCUAUUGCAGUGCAAUAGGAAUUCCUAGGGCGAAUGAUGGCUUCCCGUGAGCGUUGUUGCCUCGCGGUUGGUUGAAAAUCGAGUCCUUGGUAGGGUGUGCCAUGGUAGAUGGUGGUCGAGUUAGAACGAUACCGAUCAUGUGCAUGCUCCCCAAAAUAUGGCCUCUAUGACCCACACGCGUCUUUUGACGCUCAUGACGAGACCUCAGGUCAGGCGGGGCUACCCGCUGAAUUUAAGCAUAUCAAUAAGCGGAGGA